GGGGUUGUGGCUCAGUGGCAGAGCACUUGCCUAGCAUGCGUGAGGCACUGGGUUCGAUCCUCAGCACCA
RNAcentral lists this transfer RNA (69 nucleotides) under Ictidomys tridecemlineatus (thirteen-lined ground squirrel). RNAcentral describes it as "Spermophilus tridecemlineatus (thirteen-lined ground squirrel) tRNA". It matches the Rfam family "tRNA". Rfam says of the family: Transfer RNA (tRNA) molecules are approximately 80 nucleotides in length. Lineage: Eukaryota; Metazoa; Chordata; Mammalia; Rodentia; Sciuridae. The record is from Rfam by way of RNAcentral.